This 934-nucleotide ribosomal RNA is filed under the name Guptibacillus algicola. RNAcentral describes it as "bacterial SSU rRNA". It matches the Rfam family "Bacterial small subunit ribosomal RNA", at positions 28 to 944 of the family's 1533-position model. The record is from RNAcentral. Lineage: Bacteria; Bacillati; Bacillota; Bacilli; Caryophanales; Guptibacillaceae.
GACGAACGCUGGCGGCGUGCCUAAUACAUGCAAGUCGAGCGGAGAAAUGGGAGCUUGCUCCCAUUUCUCAGCGGCGGACGGGUGAGUAACACGUGGGCAACGUGCCCUACAGACUGGCAUAACUCCGGGAAACCGGAGCUAAUACCGGGUAAUACAUAGCAUCGCAUGAUGCAACGUUGAAAGUUGGCCUUUGGCUAACACUGUAGGAUGGGCCCGCGGCGCAUUAGCUAGUUGGUAAGGUAACGGCUUACCAAGGCCACGAUGCGUAGCCGACCUGAGAGGGUGAUCGGCCACACUGGGACUGAGACACGGCCCAGACUCCUACGGGAGGCAGCAGUAGGGAAUCUUCCGCAAUGGACGAAAGUCUGACGGAGCAACGCCGCGUGAGUGACGAAGGCCUUCGGGUCGUAACGCUCUGUUGUUAGGGAAGAACAAGUACCGUUCGAAUAGGGCGGUACCUUGACGGUACCUAACCAGAAAGCCACGGCUAACUACGUGCCAGCAGCCGCGGUAAUACGUAGGUGGCAAGCGUUGUCCGGAAUUAUUGGGCGUAAAGCGCGCGCAGGCGGUCUCUUAAGUCUGAUGUGAAAGCCCACGGCUCAACCGUGGAGGGCCAUUGGAAACUGGGGGACUUGAGUGCAGAAGAGGAGAGUGGAAUUCCACGUGUAGCGGUGAAAUGCGUAGAUAUGUGGAGGAACACCAGUGGCGAAGGCGGCUCUCUGGUCUGUAACUGACGCUGAGGCGCGAAAGCGUGGGGAGCRAACAGGAUUAGAUACCCUGGUAGUCCACGCCGUAAACGAUGAGUGCUAGGUGUUGGGGGGUUCCACCCUCAGUGCUGAAGUUAACACAUUAAGCACUCCGCCUGGGGAGUACGACCGCAAGGUUGAAACUCAAAGGAAUUGACGGGGGCCCGCACAAGCAGUGGAGCAUGUGG